Non-coding RNA from Labrus bergylta (ballan wrasse), 1102 nucleotides. The record is from RefSeq and is a predicted model, not a curated record. Lineage: Eukaryota; Metazoa; Chordata; Actinopteri; Labriformes; Labridae.
UCAGGUUAAGUGUUUUGUCUUUUCUUUUAAUCAGAGAAGCAAUUAGCAUAGUUGAGCUGGUGCUGCUCAUGUUUUUUUUUUUUAGUCUUCUGUCAUUAGCCAACAGGUUUUUUUCCCCUCUCACCUCAUUUAAUCUCAAUAUGCUGUCUGUUUCAAGUCUCUAAUCUACUCCCAUCAACUACAGACAUACUAUGAAAGCACAUAGAGUACACUGUCAUAUCCGUUCUUGUACAGACACGAUUGCGAGCCUGUCACCAUCAAUCAAAAAUGAGGAGUGAGAACGUCGAGUAGCGCUCACACCAAACACCAAAGUGUUCCUUUACUCUCGUGUUGGGUUGUACAUUCUCAGAGGGCCAAGAAAGCCUGUAUGUUGUGGGAUAAUGUGUGGGAAGAUAAAUGAUGUCUUUGCUUUUCAUUGUCAUGCAUAAAGAUGACACAUUACUGCUUGAAUCCAGCGAGACAACAUGAUGAUGCAAUUAACUGUGUGGGGAUACACACUCAUCUCAUAACUAAAAGUUUUGUUUGCGUUGGAGCUCCCUGGAGAUUUGGGAAUUAAAUGUUUUAUACUUGAAUUGCUGCUUAUUUUAAAGGUCUGCUGUGGUAUGGCAUCCAUCCAUCCAGAUGUGUCAGUAGGUGAAACAUAAUCCAUAUCCAGCUGUGUAGCUGAUAAAACCCUAAUUGUUUUUGCUUUGAUCAAAGGUAUGCAAUCGUUAUGGAUUUAUAUUCUAUAAUCCUACAACAACAUAUACUGUCAUGGCUCUCUCACUCUGGCUCCCUCCUGAUUGAGGUUCAUUCCUUUCACCUGCUCUCACCUGCACACCAGCUCUCCAUCUCCUCAUCAACUCAGCAGUAUAUAUACCCCGGCUCUCCGUCCACUCAUCGCCAGAUCGUUGUUUCAACUAUUGUGGAUCACCAUUCACCCACCUGCCUUCCUGCUCAGCCAUCUGCCUCAACCUGCUCUCUGGACUUAAAAACUGCUCAGCCACACUCACACCCCUACUCUGGUCUGGUCAGCCUUCGUCCCCUUUCACUCUGCUAACCUCCGGAAUCUUGAAACCCAUCUUCAUCUCCAUUUGCCACAAUAAACCUCAUUACCAAUCAA